This 393-nucleotide ribosomal RNA is filed under the name uncultured bacterium. Its description in RNAcentral is "partial 16S ribosomal RNA". It matches the Rfam family "Bacterial small subunit ribosomal RNA", at positions 523 to 918 of the family's 1533-position model. The record is from RNAcentral.
AUACGGAGGAUGCGAGCGUUAUCCGGAUUUAUUGGGUUUAAAGGGAGCGUAGGUGGGAUAUUAAGUCAGCUGUGAAAGUUUGGGGCUCAACCUUAAAAUUGCAGUUGAUACUGGUUUCCUUGAGUACGGUAUAGGUGGGCGGAAUUCGUGGUGUAGCGGUGAAAUGCUUAGAUAUCACGAAGAACUCCGAUCGCGAAGGCAGCUCACCGGGCCGGAACUGACACUGAUGCUCGAAAGUGCGGGUAUCAAACAGGAUUAGAUACCCUGGUAGUCCGCACAGUAAACGAUGAAUACUUGUUUUCGGCGAUAUAAUGUCGGAGGCAAAGCGAAAGCGAUAAGUAUUCCACCUGGGGAGUACGCCGGCAACGGUGAAACUCAAAGGAAUUGGCGGGG